This 886-nucleotide ribosomal RNA is filed under the name Eremophila alpestris praticola. Its description in RNAcentral is "partial 16S ribosomal RNA". It matches the Rfam family "Bacterial large subunit ribosomal RNA", at positions 1272 to 2757 of the family's 2925-position model. The record is from RNAcentral. Lineage: Eukaryota; Metazoa; Chordata; Aves; Passeriformes; Alaudidae.
ACCUAUCACAAUAGGAGAAUUAAUGCUAGAAUGAGUAACCAGGGUAAUUCCCUCUACGACGCAAGCUUACAUCUGUACAUUAUUAACAAGCACCCAAUAUACGACAAAUCCAACAAGCAGAGUAUUAACCACCUUGUUAACCCGACAGAGGAGCGUCCGUUAAGAAAGAUUAAAACCUGUAAAAGGAACUAGGCAAACCCGUCAAGGCCCGACUGUUUCCAAAAACAUAGCCUUCAGCAAACCAAAGGACAAGUAUUGAAGGUGAUGCCUGCCCGGUGACGUAGUUCAACGGCCGCGGUAUCCUAACCGUGCAAAGGUAGCGCAAUCAAUUGUCCCAUAAAUCGGGACACGUAUGAAUGGCUAAACGAGGUCUUAACUGUCUCUUACAGGCAAUCGGUGAAAUUGAUCUCCUGUGCGAAAGCAGGGAUAACCACAUAAGACGAGAAGACCCUGUGGAACUUCAAAAACAGCGACCACCCCAACAUACAUACACACCCAAAGCACUGGUUCGCAUUUUUUCGGUUGGGGCGACCUUGGAGCAAAACAAAACCUCCAAAGAUUGGACCAUCCCUCCAGACUAAGAGCAACCUCUCAACGUGCCAACAGCACCCAGACCCAAUACAAUUGAUCAAUGGACCAAGCUACCCCAGGGAUAACAGCGCAAUCUCCUCCAAGAGUCCAUAUCGACGGGGAGGUUUACGACCUCGAUGUUGGAUCAGGACAUCCUAGUGGUGCAGGAGCUACUAAGGGUUCGUUUGUUCAACGAUUAACAGUCCUACGUGAUCUGAGUUCAGACCGGAGCAAUCCAGGUCGGUUUCUAUCUAUGAUGAACUCUUCCUCGUACGAAAGGAUCGGAAAAGUGAGGCCAAUACCACAAGCAAGCCUU